Small nucleolar RNA from Apodemus sylvaticus (European woodmouse), 133 nucleotides. RefSeq annotates it as small nucleolar RNA SNORA22. The record is from RefSeq and is a predicted model, not a curated record. The transcript has a single exon. NCBI's taxonomy places the organism in Eukaryota, Metazoa, Chordata, Mammalia, Rodentia, Muridae.
UAGCACAUUUAACGCCCAAGUGUGCUCUGUAGUUCCCUUGGCCUUGACUCUUCUAGAAUACUGUCUGUUCUUUUCCUCUGCAUUGAAAGGAGUACUGUGUCCUUUUAAAUGUAUUCAGAAAAUCAGCACACCA